RNAcentral lists this ribosomal RNA (253 nucleotides) under uncultured bacterium. RNAcentral's name for it is "partial 16S ribosomal RNA". It matches the Rfam family "Bacterial small subunit ribosomal RNA", at positions 524 to 776 of the family's 1533-position model. The record is from RNAcentral.
UACGUAGGAGGCAAGCGUUGUCCGGAAUCACUGGGCGUAAAGCGCGUGUAGGCGGAUCGCUAAGUCUGUGGUGAAAGCGCCUGGCUUAACCGGGCGAGGUCCAUGGAAACUAGCGGUCUGGAGGCCGGUAGAGGGGGGUGGAAUUCCGGGUGUAGUGGUGAAAUGCGUAGAGAUCCGGAGGAACACCAGUGGCGAAGGCGGCCCCCUGGGCCGCGCCUGACGCUGAGAAGCGAAAGCAUGGGGAGCGAACAGG